UGAGUACGAGACGCUACGGCGUCGAAGCAGUCUAUGUCAUACUUCCAAGAAAAGCUUGCACUGUCAUAAACAAAUAAUGCCUGUACCAUAACCGACACAGGUGGGUAGGUAGAGUAUACUAAGGGGCGCGAGAUAACUCUCUCUAAGGAACUCGGCAAAAUGACUCCGUAACUUCGGGAGAAGGAGUGCCUUAUUCUUAAGGUUGCAAUAACAAGAUCCAAGCAACUGUUUACCAAAAACACAGGUCUCCGCUAAGUCGUAAGACGAUGUAUGGGGGCUGACGCCUGCCCAGUGCCAGAAGGUUAAAGAAGUUGGUUAGCAUUCGCGAAGCUGAUAACUGAAGCCCUGGUGAACGGCGGCCGUAACUAUAACGGUCCUAAGGUAGCGAAAUUCCUUGUCGGGUAAGUUCCGACCCGCACGAAAGGCGUAAUGAUUUGGAUACUGUCUCGGAGAGGGGCUCGGUGAAAUAGACUUGUCUGUGAAGAUGCGGACCACCUGCACCUGGACAGAAAGACCCUAUGAAGCUUUACUGUAACUUGAAAUUGAAAUUGGACUUUAUUUGCGCAGUAUAGGUGGGAGGCGUUGAGAAUAUUCUUGCGGGAAUAUUGGAGCCAUCAGUGAGAUACCACUCUUGUAAUGUUAGAUUUCUAACUUUGAAUCAUUAUCUGGUCAAAGGACAGUUUCAGGCGGGCAGUUUGACUGGGGCGGUCGCCUCCUAAAUGGUAACGGAGGCGCACAAAGGUUUCCUCUGAACGGGUAGAAAUCGUAUCUAGAGUGUAAAGGCAUAAGGAAGCUUGACUGUGAGACCUACAAGUCGAGCAGGGACGAAAGUCGGUCUUAGUGAUCUGUCGGUGCUGAGUGGAAAGGCCGUCACUCAACGGAUAAAAGUUACUCUAAGGAUAACAGGCUGAUCUCCCCCAAGAGUUCACAUCGACGGGGAGGUUUGGCACCUCGAUGUCGGCUCAUCGCAUCCUGGGGCGGUAGUACGUCCCAAGGGUUGGGCUGUUCGCCCAUGAAAGCGGUACGCGAGCUGGGUUCAGAACGUCGUGAGACAGUUCGGUCCAUAUCCGGUGUAGGCGUUAGAAUAUUGAGAGGAGCCUUCUUUAGUACGAGAGGACCGAGAAGGACAUACCUCUGGUGUACCAGUUAUCGUGCCAACGGUAAACGCUGGGUAGCUAUGUAUUGAGAGGAUAACCGCUGAAAGCAUCUAAGUGGGAAGCCCACCUCGAGAUAAGUAUUC
This 1240-nucleotide ribosomal RNA is filed under the name metagenome. RNAcentral's name for it is "bacterial LSU rRNA". It matches the Rfam family "Bacterial large subunit ribosomal RNA", at positions 1564 to 2813 of the family's 2925-position model. The record is from RNAcentral.